AAACUAACAAGGAUUCCCCUAGUAACGGCGAGUGAACCGGGAAGAGCUCAAAUUUGAAAUCUGGCGUGCUCAGUGCGUCCGAGUUGUAAUCUAUAGAGUCGUUUUCCGUGCCGGACUGUGUCCAAGUCCCUUGGAACAGGGUAUCAAAGAGGGUGAUAAUCCCGUACUUGACACAAUGACCGGUGCUCUGUGAUACGUCUUCUACGAGUCGAGUUGUUUGGGAAUGCAGCUCAAAAUGGGUGGUGAGUUCCAUCUAAAGCUAAAUAUUGGCGAGAGACCGAUAGCGAACAAGUACCGUGAGGGAAAGAUGAAAAGCACUUUGGAAAGAGAGUUAAACAGUACGUGAAAUUGUUAAAAGGGAAACGAUUGAAGUCAGUCGUGACUGAGAGGCUCAGCCGGUUCUGCCGGUGUAUUCCCCUCAGUCGGGUCAACAUCAGUUUUGUUCGGUGGAUAAGGGCAGUUGGAAGGUGGCACCCUCGGGUGUGUUAUAGCCAGCUGUCGCAUACAUCGGAUGAGACUGAGGAAUGCAGCUC
RNAcentral lists this ribosomal RNA (533 nucleotides) under Papiliotrema flavescens. Its description in RNAcentral is "LSU rRNA". It matches the Rfam family "Eukaryotic large subunit ribosomal RNA", at positions 62 to 601 of the family's 3401-position model. The record is from RNAcentral. Lineage: Eukaryota; Fungi; Basidiomycota; Tremellomycetes; Tremellales; Rhynchogastremaceae.